ACCUGAGUGGCUCAGUCGGUUGAGCGUCUGACUUCAGCUCAGGUCAUGAUCUCACGGUCUGUGAGUUCGAGCCCCGUGUCAGGCU
RNAcentral lists this transfer RNA (85 nucleotides) under Felis catus (domestic cat). It matches the Rfam family "tRNA". Rfam says of the family: Transfer RNA (tRNA) molecules are approximately 80 nucleotides in length. Lineage: Eukaryota; Metazoa; Chordata; Mammalia; Carnivora; Felidae. The record is from Rfam by way of RNAcentral.